CGCCUUGUGGUUAAAGUGGUCGCCAGACUAUACUGGUGUUGUGGAGCGGUCGGGUCGCCUUGUGGUUAAAGUGGUUGUCAGACUAUACGGGGCUAGUGGAGCGGUCGGGUCGCCUUGUGGUUAAAGUGGUCGCCAGACUAUACUGGUGUU
Haliotis rufescens (red abalone) is the source of this 150-nucleotide long non-coding RNA. RefSeq lists it as uncharacterized. The record is from RefSeq and is a predicted model, not a curated record. NCBI's taxonomy places the organism in Eukaryota, Metazoa, Mollusca, Gastropoda, Lepetellida, Haliotidae. The transcript is spliced from 3 exons.